This 497-nucleotide ribosomal RNA is filed under the name uncultured bacterium. RNAcentral describes it as "partial 16S ribosomal RNA". It matches the Rfam family "Bacterial small subunit ribosomal RNA", at positions 28 to 507 of the family's 1533-position model. The record is from RNAcentral.
GAUGAACGCUGGCGGCGUGCCUAAUACAUGCAAGUCGAGCGAACAGACAAGGAGCUUGCUCCUCUGACGUUAGCGGCGGACGGGUGAGUAACACGUGGAUAACCUACCUAUAAGACUGGGAUAACUUCGGGAAACCGGAGCUAAUACCGGAUAAUAUAUUGAACCGCAUGGUUCAAUAGUGAAAGACGGUUUUGCUGUCACUUAUAGAUGGAUCCGCGCCGCAUUAGCUAGUUGGUAAGGUAACGGCUUACCAAGGCAACGAUGCGUAGCCGACCUGAGAGGGUGAUCGGCCACACUGGAACUGAGACACGGUCCAGACUCCUACGGGAGGCAGCAGUAGGGAAUCUUCCGCAAUGGGCGAAAGCCUGACGGAGCAACGCCGCGUGAGUGAUGAAGGUCUUCGGAUCGUAAAACUCUGUUAUUAGGGAAAAACAAAUGUGUAAGUAACUAUGCACGUCUUGACGGUACCUAAUCAGAAAGCCACGGCUAACUACGUG